AUUGAACGCUGGCGGCAGGCCUAACACAUGCAAGUCGAACGAGUGGCGGACGGGUGAGUAAUGUCUGGGAAACUGCCCGAUGGAGGGGGGUAACUACUGGAAACGAUAGAUAAUACCGCAUACCAUCGGAUGUGCCCAGAUGGGAUUAGCUUGUAGGUGGGGGAACGGCUCACCGGGGCGACGAUCCCUAGCUGGUCUGAGAGGAUGACCAGCCAGACUGGAACUGUGACACGGUCCAGACUCCUACGGGAGGCAGCAGUGGGGAAUAUUGCACAAUGGGCGCAAGCCUGAUGCAGCAAUGCCGCGUGUAUGAAGAAGGCCUUCGGGUUGUAAAGUACUUUCAGCGGGGAGGCGUUACCCGCAGAAGAAGCACCGGCUAACUCCGUGCCAGCCGCCGCGGUAAUAC
This 406-nucleotide ribosomal RNA is filed under the name uncultured bacterium. RNAcentral's name for it is "partial 16S ribosomal RNA". It matches the Rfam family "Bacterial small subunit ribosomal RNA", at positions 30 to 526 of the family's 1533-position model. The record is from RNAcentral.